CCUACGGGUGGCAGCAGUGGGGAAUAUUGGACAAUGGGCGAAAGCCUGAUCCAGCCAUGCCGCGUGUGUGAAGAAGGCCUUCGGGUUGUAAAGCACUUUCAGUGGGGAAGAAAGCCUUGGGGCUAAUACCCUCGAGGAAGGACAUCACCCACAGAAGAAGCACCGGCUAACUCCGUGCCAGCAGCCGCGGUAAUACGGAGGGUGCGAGCGUUAAUCGGAAUUACUGGGCGUAAAGCGCGCGUAGGCGGUCUGAUAAGCCGGUUGUGAAAGCCCCGGGCUCAACCUGGGAACGGCAUCCGGAACUGGUAGGAUAGAGUGCAUGAGAGGAAGGUAGAAUUCCCGGUGUAGCGGUGAAAUGCGUAGAGAUCGGGAGGAAUACCAGUGGCGAAGGCGGUCUUCUGGACUGACACUGACGCUGAGGUGCGAAAGCGUGGGUAGCAAACAGGAUUAGAUACCCUUGUAGUC
This 465-nucleotide ribosomal RNA is filed under the name Vreelandella stevensii. RNAcentral describes it as "partial 16S ribosomal RNA". It matches the Rfam family "Bacterial small subunit ribosomal RNA", at positions 338 to 795 of the family's 1533-position model. The record is from RNAcentral. Lineage: Bacteria; Pseudomonadati; Pseudomonadota; Gammaproteobacteria; Oceanospirillales; Halomonadaceae.